Myotis lucifugus (little brown bat) is the source of this 113-nucleotide non-coding RNA. The record is from Rfam. Lineage: Eukaryota; Metazoa; Chordata; Mammalia; Chiroptera; Vespertilionidae.
CGUGCACCGGUGGGGUCCCUUGGCCUGGCCUGUGGGGAUCAGUCCAACAUCUCCCAAGGGGUCCCGGGUUGUGAGAGGGUGCAAGCCAGGCCAAGGGACCCCACCGGUGCACA